GGCCCCGUCGUCUAACGGUUAGGACAUCAGGUUUUCAACCUGGGAGCGGGGGUUCGACUCCCCCCGGGGCCA
This 72-nucleotide transfer RNA is filed under the name Actinobacteria bacterium 13_1_20CM_3_68_9. Its description in RNAcentral is "tRNA-Glu". It matches the Rfam family "tRNA". Rfam says of the family: Transfer RNA (tRNA) molecules are approximately 80 nucleotides in length. Their secondary structure includes four short double-helical elements and three loops (D, anti-codon, and T loops). Lineage: Bacteria; Bacillati; Actinomycetota. RNAcentral also lists the same sequence under 2 other names. The record is from RNAcentral.